AGCAACACAGGUUUACCGAACAAACACCCGCGGAGGGGUACACCAACUAGCGCCAGAGCCCGCCCCCGCUUCCAGACUGGUUAGAAGGCCAUCAUCUUCAUGCAAGACUUGAGGAUGAAGGAACCUACUUAAGGCUUUUAAGAGGACAAGAGACAGCACUCUUCUGUCUCCUAACCACUGUCUCUGACAGUUGCCUACCAAUGACACACUCCCCUGUGUGGUGAUUAUGGAUGUCAGGCUGAGAAUGGAAGCAGAAACUCAAGCCUUCUGCUAAUCUAAACUAUGUGUAAAAAACACAUCUUAUUAUAAGAUCUUGACUUUUCGAUUUCUCUUAUUCACCAUAUCUUCAGUGCCCAGCAUUAUUCCUGGAAUAUUCAAUAAGAUCUGUUUGCAGUGAACGAUUGUUUGGAUGAAUCAUUGUAUUUUCCUGUUAGUGUAUGGAAAUACAGCUGAUUUUCUAUAUUGAUUUUGUAUCCUGAUACAUUACUUAUGCCCACUUUCAUCACUCCUAUUCAACCUAGAACUGGAAGUGCUUGUCAGAGGAAUGAGUGAAGAGAAAAAAUGGCAUCCAAAUUGAGAAAGAGAAGGUACUCUGCUACAUUUUACAUAUCUGCUUUUUGAGGAAUAAAUACCAGAAAGAAGUGGCCUACAUAAAUCCAAAUGGCUUUAGACAUUUCAAGUACUGGAAAACAAGAUUAUAACUAUUUACGAAGAAAUGGAACAUCCUUGCUGAAAUCAUCCUGCAACAAGUUGUGCUUUCAUUUAUAAUUGAAAACACCAAACUCUAAUGCUUGAAAAUAAAAUCUAAUAAUCUGUAGUGGGUUGAAUCCAUGGAUGAAGAACCCAUCAAUAUGGAGGACUGACUGUAGCUUUCUUGCUGGU
This is a long non-coding RNA of Pan troglodytes (chimpanzee), 882 nucleotides long. RefSeq lists it as uncharacterized. Lineage: Eukaryota; Metazoa; Chordata; Mammalia; Primates; Hominidae. The transcript is spliced from 6 exons. The record is from RefSeq and is a predicted model, not a curated record.